Molecule: ribosomal RNA, 520 nt
Filed under: Metschnikowia sp. 11-1088
Lineage: Eukaryota; Fungi; Ascomycota; Pichiomycetes; Serinales; Metschnikowiaceae
Description: eukaryotic LSU rRNA
Rfam family: Eukaryotic large subunit ribosomal RNA
Source: RNAcentral
CUAAGCGGAGGAAAAGAAACCAACAGGGAUUGCCUCAGUAACGGCGAGUGAAGCGGCAAAAGCUCAAAUUUGAAAUCCCCCGGGAAUUGUAAUUUGAAGAGAUUUGGGUCCGGCCGGCAGGGGUUAAGUCCACUGGAAAGUGGCGCCACAGAGGGUGACAGCCCCGUGAACCCCUUCAACGCCCUCAUCCCAGAUCUCCAAGAGUCGAGUUGUUUGGGAAUGCAGCUCUAAGUGGGUGGUAAAUUCCAUCUAAAGCUAAAUACCGGCGAGAGACCGAUAGCGAACAAGUACAGUGAUGGAAAGAUGAAAAGCACUUUGAAAAGAGAGUGAAAAAGUACGUGAAAUUGUUGAAAGGGAAGGGCUUGCAAGCAGACACUUAACUGGGCCAGCAUCGGGGCGGCGGGGAGCAAAACCACCGGGGAAUGUACCUUUCGAGGAUUAUAACCCCGGUCCUUACUCCCUCACCAUCCCGAGGCCUGCAAUCUAAGGAUGCUGGCGUAAUGGUUGCAAGUCGCCCGUC